CACCGUGAAGCAUAGACUUUACUGGUAGGUCUUUUUUAAGCUCAGCGCUGUAUGGCAGCCUGCAGCACAAAAGAAAAAAAUCCAUUCCUCUUCAUGGAUUAUAGUUGGAUGACAGCCUCUUGGUAAAGUUCUUAGCUGUCAAGAGUCACAAAACACUUCCAUAAAGCCUGACAGGAUUGUGCUGCUAGUCUGAUCAACUUCAGUGGUUGUGAUUAAGUGUCUCAUUACGCCUCGAAACAACACUUAUGUUUUCUUCUUGUUCCCGUGUGCAGGCGUUCUGCUCGACAUCCAGCGGCACUAUGAGGUAUCCGACAGUGGAGCCGGCUUGUUGCAAACAGCAGUUUGGCAGCUGCUGUUGCCUUGUUGUCACUUGCAGAAGCAAAGGCCGAAUGUGACAUGAGAGGAAACGAUAGGAGAAGAACGAACCACCUGCGACUUCCUCCUUCUUCCUCUCGCACGGCGUCGAGUGUUAAUCUUCUCCGCUAUUGAUUCCCAAAGCCGGGUGAUUUCACUGCAGUGUUGUUCACCGGCCUUUACGCCACCCCACCCCUCCCGCCUCCCUCCCCUGCUGUGAUAAGAAUAGAGCGAUGACCUGAUGAUGCAUUGACAUCACAGCAGUGUGGCUGUGUGUCUCCGUCUCUGGUCAUUUUAUUAGGCCAUGUCUCCAAAGGGGGCAGCUGUUGGGUGACGAUUGGCACGCCGCCUCAGUCGACUUCCUCCCCUUCGCCUCUUGUUGAUCAACCCGCGUCCUGCGGAUGAAGGAAUAAAUACACAACCAGGUCUUUCGCAGACUUUCAUUCGGAUUUGACCUUGCUUGCACUUUCAAGUGCAAACAAAUGUGGAAGACAACCAUGCAAAUCUGAAGCAAAAGUCAGCGGCCAAGCGUUUGGGAGCAUCAACUGUGUGACAAAUUUUCUCCUCUUCUGCAGCCAUGUGACAUCAGCAGAUCAAUCGGAUUGCUCGCAAUCGGACACGUGCGGUCCAUUUGUGUUGCUGAUCUGUUUCCAUCAUUGCCAUCGUAAGGCCAGCAUGCAAAUCGCCACAUGUUGGGCUUGUCGUUAGGUUGUCUGUCCCUGCAGUUGCUGCAGUAACAAGCAGGAAUAGAAAAACUCCUCUCUCUGCGCUCAGCCGCUCUGCGACAGAAAAUGGUUCAAAAAUAAUAAGCACCCCUGGUGUUCCCAGCAAGUUCCUACAUUGCUCAUUUUUGUUUGUUCAUGGUCGGAUAAACCUACCGACUCUCUUCAUUCGUACCAGACUGCUUGCCGUGUUUGGACGCAAGCAACGCGCAAAAGACCAGGCCCCUGUUUGCUCCAGCCAGCCGGGCCGUGUAAUUCUCCCCAGAUGCAGCUCUCGCGUCGACCAGGUAUAGUGGAAACAUUCGCCGCAGCUGCAGAGACGAGUCAUCAGAGUGCCUGCGACACUCAAUAAAACAAAAGGGUUGGCUUAGCACGCCAGCUUCUGCAGGAAUUAGCUGCUCAUUUCAUAGAAACUGUGCUGCAUAUGGGAUUUAUCACGAUGGGACGCAACGCUCUGGUUAGGCGGCGUUGUUGAAAUGUGAGCUGGAAGGGAUUCCUGGAGAAUAACCGGGGAUCAGAAAAUGUCAGGAAUGCAGAAACGUUUGGGGCUCCGGCAUGCAGGGCAGGGGGCGCAGGGGAAAUCCACGACGAGGAAACGUGAUGCACGGGAAUGUGUGAGAAGUUUCAGUCUCUCACAGUGGCUCAGGUGUCCUACUCACACCGGAGUUAUGUGCUGCACCCUCCCACAGCAGUCCUUCAAAACCAUUAGACGGGGAAACAAGGCCGCCACUCCUUUUCUUGAGAACUCGCAAGACAGAAGCGAGAGAAGCUGCAGAGCACCGGAAACUACCAGCUAAAGGUUAUCUGGAUGAUUUGUGUCAAUGUCAAGCCUCCGUAGAGACCGACGACUGCAACAGAACGACACGUUUCGAACAGGUUUUCUGCUCUUUGUGCCCGGGAAGAGAAAAAUGUAAAACAUGCAAAACCAUGCUGGGAAACUCAUCAUCUAUUUACUGGAUUUAAACACAAAGGUGUGAUUGUGUGGUCUGAAAGCGAAAGAAACAUUUUCAGGUCUCCAGUUCGAGUGGAAGGACCGCUGACCAGCUCUGUUUACACUGGCUCUGGAUGCCUCUCAGAAAUAGUUUAUGUUGAACACCACUGGGUAAAUUAAACUUUUGGAUGUUUUGGCCUGGACCUACAUAUCCUUCAGGCUUUUCAUUAGCUUCGUUAACCCCUUUAAGUUUUACCAGCUUUGCAAUGUGCGCAAUAAACAUGAGCGUGAUUUCUGUUUUUCUGAGGAAAAACA
This is a non-coding RNA of Poecilia reticulata (guppy), 2322 nucleotides long. The record is from RefSeq and is a predicted model, not a curated record. NCBI's taxonomy places the organism in Eukaryota, Metazoa, Chordata, Actinopteri, Cyprinodontiformes, Poeciliidae.